GAUGAACGCUAGCUACAGGCUUAACACAUGCAAGUCGAGGGGAAACGAUGAGAGAGCUUGCUCUCUUAGGCGUCGACCGGCGCACGGGUGAGUAACGCGUAUCCAACCUACCCAUUACAGGGGGAUAACCUUGCGAAAGUAAGACUAAUACCCCAUGGCAUUUUAUGGUGGCAUCAUUAUAGGAUUAAAGAUUUAUUGGUAAUGGAUGGGGAUGCGUCUGAUUAGCUUGUUGGCGGGGUAACGGCCCACCAAGGCAACGAUCAGUAGGGGUUCUGAGAGGAAGGUCCCCCACAUUGGAACUGAGACACGGUCCAAACUCCUACGGGAGGCAGCAGUGAGGAAUAUUGGUCAAUGGGCGAGAGCUUGAACCAGCCAAGUAGCGUGCAGGAUGACGGCACUAUGGGUUGUAAACUGCUUUUAUAGGGGAAUAAAGUGAGCUACGUGUAGUUUAUUGCAUGUACCCUAUGAAUAAGGACCGGCUAAUUCCGUG
Molecule: ribosomal RNA, 490 nt
Filed under: uncultured bacterium
Lineage: Bacteria
Description: partial 16S ribosomal RNA
Rfam family: Bacterial small subunit ribosomal RNA
Source: RNAcentral